This 760-nucleotide ribosomal RNA is filed under the name uncultured bacterium. Its description in RNAcentral is "bacterial SSU rRNA". It matches the Rfam family "Bacterial small subunit ribosomal RNA", at positions 8 to 802 of the family's 1533-position model. The record is from RNAcentral.
AGAGUUUGAUCCUGGCUCAGAAUCAACGCUGGCGGCGCGCCUAACACAUGCAAGUCGAGCGAGAAAGGGGGCAACCCUGAGUAAAGCGGCGUACGGGUGAGUAACACGUGGAUUAUCUACCUCUUAGUGGGGCAUACCUCUGGGAAACCGGAGACAAUACCGCAUAAGUUCGAGAGAAGAAAGCAGCAAUGCGCUGAGAGAAGAGUCCGCGGCCGAUUAGCUAGAUGGCGGGGUAAUGGCCCACCAUGGCGACGAUCGGUAGCCGGCCUGAGAGGGCACACGGCCACACUGGCACUGAAACACGGGCCAGACUCCUACGGGAGGCAGCAGUGGGGAAUCUUGCACAAUGGAGGAAACUCUGAUGCAGCGACGCCGCGUGGACGACGAAGCCCUUCGGGGUGUAAAGUCCUUUCGACCGGAACGAUAAUGACGGUACCGGUGGAAGAAGCUGCGGCUAACUACGUGCCAGCAGCCGCGGUAAUACGUAGGCAGCAAGCGUUGUUCGGAAUUAUUGGGCGUAAAGAGCUCGUAGGCGGUUUGCCAAGUUUGGUGUGAAAUCUCCCGGCUUAACUGGGAGGGUGCGCCGAAUACUAGCAGGCUAGAGUACGGGAGAGGAAAGCGGAAUUCCUGGUGUAGCGGUGAAAUGCGUAGAUAUCAGGAGGAACACCUGCGGUGUAGACGGCUUUCUGGACCGAAACUGACGCUGAGGAGCGAAAGCGUGGGUAGCAAACAGGAUUAGAUACCCUGGUAGUCAAGGGCG